UAACAAGGUCUCCGUAGGUGAACCUGCGGAGGGAUCAUUAC
Molecule: ribosomal RNA, 41 nt
Filed under: Bipolaris oryzae
Lineage: Eukaryota; Fungi; Ascomycota; Dothideomycetes; Pleosporales; Pleosporaceae
Also listed under: 1 other name
Description: partial 18S ribosomal RNA
Rfam family: Eukaryotic small subunit ribosomal RNA
Source: RNAcentral